Molecule: transfer RNA, 87 nt
Filed under: Segatella copri
Lineage: Bacteria; Pseudomonadati; Bacteroidota; Bacteroidia; Bacteroidales; Prevotellaceae
Description: tRNA-Ser
Rfam family: tRNA
About the family: Transfer RNA (tRNA) molecules are approximately 80 nucleotides in length. Their secondary structure includes four short double-helical elements and three loops (D, anti-codon, and T loops).
Source: RNAcentral
GGAGGUUUGGCAGAGUUGGUCUUAUUGCACCGGUCUUGAAAACCGGCAGGCGGCAACGUCUCAAAGGUUCGAAUCCUUUAGCCUCCG